UACGGAGGGGGCUAGCGUUGUUCGGAAUCACUGGGCGUAAAGCGCACGCAGGCGGAUCGUUAAGUCAGGGGUGAAAUGCCGAGGCUCAACCUCGGAACUGCCUUUGAUACUGGCGAUCUCGAGUCCGGAAGAGGUAAGUGGAACUCCGAGUGUAGAGGUGAAAUUCGUAGAUAUUCGGAAGAACACCAGUGGCGAAGGCGGCUUACUGGUCCGGUACUGACGCUGAGGUGCGAAAGCGUGGGGAGCAAACAGG
This 253-nucleotide ribosomal RNA is filed under the name uncultured bacterium. RNAcentral's name for it is "partial 16S ribosomal RNA". It matches the Rfam family "Bacterial small subunit ribosomal RNA", at positions 524 to 776 of the family's 1533-position model. The record is from RNAcentral.